UGUGAGGGGUGAUGGAAUUCCUUCCACCCAGUCAAGAGGCUCACCAAUCCAGAACGACCCUCAGAGACUCAGAUAAGAGAGUGAAUUAAUUGCCCAUUGUAAAUAUCAGUCUCCUUUGGCCAAGCUACCAGCUGUUAUUCUGUGAUCCAGGGUCACCGUGGGAGAAAGCCAAAGGAGAAAGUCACAGCCUUGUUCUGAGCCCUGGCUCUCCCCAUCCUCUGGUCACCUAGCUUCAUUUCCGUUUCCCAAAUAAGACACACUUCAUGAGGUGCUGCUCUGAUUUCCCCCUCUCAAGAGGAGACAACUUUAAAGCAGACUUGAAGAAUUUAACCUGGGUGAGGCCCACAGAGUGGAAAUAUUUGAUGAGCCAGUAAUACUUCGAGUGAAGCCUGAGCACCACGCAUUUGCAAUGGGAAGUGGUUUUUUAGAUCACCUCAGAAGAGCUGCCUCAUUCAAAUCUUCUGUCUUAAUAAGUUGACCCUGUUGAAAAAAAAAGGAAGAAAAGAAAGAAGAAGGAAG
This is a long non-coding RNA of Zalophus californianus (California sea lion), 519 nucleotides long. RefSeq lists it as uncharacterized. The record is from RefSeq and is a predicted model, not a curated record. NCBI's taxonomy places the organism in Eukaryota, Metazoa, Chordata, Mammalia, Carnivora, Otariidae. The transcript has 3 exons.